RNAcentral lists this ribosomal RNA (253 nucleotides) under uncultured bacterium. Its description in RNAcentral is "partial 16S ribosomal RNA". It matches the Rfam family "Bacterial small subunit ribosomal RNA", at positions 524 to 776 of the family's 1533-position model. The record is from RNAcentral.
UACGUAGGGUGCAAGCGUUAAUCGGAAUUACUGGGCGUAAAGGGCGCGUAGGCGGCCUUCUAAGUCGAACGUGAAAUCCCCGGGCUCAACCCGGGAACUGCGUCCGAUACUGGAAGGCUUGAAUCCGGGAGAGGGAUGCGGAAUUCCAGGUGUAGCGGUGAAAUGCGUAGAUAUCUGGAGGAACACCGGUGGCGAAGGCGGCAUCCUGGACCGGCAUUGACGCUGAGGCGCGAAAGCCAGGGGAGCAAACGGG